Octopus bimaculoides (California two-spot octopus) is the source of this 1261-nucleotide long non-coding RNA. NCBI's taxonomy places the organism in Eukaryota, Metazoa, Mollusca, Cephalopoda, Octopoda, Octopodidae. The record is from RefSeq and is a predicted model, not a curated record.
UAGAUAGAUAGAUAGAUAGAUAGAUGUAUAUGUAUGUAUAUAUAUACGCAUGUAUGUAUGCAUGCAUGCAUAUGUGUGUAUGUGUUUGUGUAACGUCGAUGUUUCUGGGUGGACAUGCAUAUAUUUGUGUUUCUGCUUUUACUCAUAGCUAACUUUGUCCUCUUUCCCCAUACUCAGGACACAAUGGAAUGUAACAAGAACAAAUAGUACUGACACUCCGUUGGUUACGACGACGCGAGUUCCAGAUGAUCCGAUCAACAGAACAGCCUUCUCGUGAAAUUAAUGUGCAAGUGGUUGAGUACUCCAUAGACACGCUUACCCUUAACAUAGUUCUCAAGGAGACUCAGCGUGAUACAGAAUGUGACAAGGUUGACCCUUUGAAAUAUACGUGCUACUCAUUUUUGCCAGCUGAGUGAACUGGAGCAACACGAAAUAAAGUGUCCUGGUCAAGGUCACAACACGUCACCGGUAAUUGAACUCAUGACUUUACGAUCGCAAACUGAAUAACCUAACCACUAAGCCACGUUCCUUCCACAGAACAAAUAGUAUGUAACCCGUAAAUGUUGAUACGAGUCGAUAAUGACGUUCGUAAUGUUGGUGUGUUUAGCAUUAGUAAAGAUAAAUAAAUAUAUAUAUAUAUAUAUCAGUGGGCGAAGCAAAGAAUUAAAGAUCAUAAAUUCAGAGCUGUCAUUCACGACGUUUGUGUCUUUAUGGGAUCCUUUAUAUAAACAACAAACUAUUGCAGUUUGUUUGGAAGUGUUGCCGAGAUCUCGAGAAUGCGGAAUAUAUUUUCAUUUCCUUUAUUUAUUUAUCUACUUAUUCAUUCAUUCAUUUAUUUUUCACAAGAAUAUAUGACAAGUGGUAUGAGCACUUGUGUAAAUAUAGCCUGGAACUCGGUCAGUUACGACGAGCACCCCAGUUGAUCCGAUCAAAAGAACAGCCUGUUCGUGAAGUUAACCUGCAAGUGGUGGGACACUCAACAGACAAGCGUACACUUAACACAUUACUCGGGGACAUUCAGAGUGACACAGAAUGUGACAAGACUGGCCUCUUUGAAAUACAGAUGCAAAUCAUUUUUGCCAGCUGAGUGGACUGGAGCUACCUGAAAUAAAAUGUCUCGUUCAAAGACUCAAUCCGCUGACGGGAAUGAAAAAUUCACAACUUUAUGAUCGAGAGGUGAAUGCCCAAUCCACACGCCUUAAGUGUGUGAGUGCAAAUAUACAAAAUAUGUACGUUUCAGAGAAUACAUAUAUACAUAUAU